Manis javanica (Malayan pangolin) is the source of this 927-nucleotide long non-coding RNA. RefSeq lists it as uncharacterized. Lineage: Eukaryota; Metazoa; Chordata; Mammalia; Pholidota; Manidae. The record is from RefSeq and is a predicted model, not a curated record.
GGGUGUAUGUGGAUGAAGUGCACAGAGUACUCAGUGUGCCCGUGGGUCAGCUGGAGGGAUCCACAGAGUGGUUACAAAUGACUGACACACCCUAACAGAGGAGGAUUCACAGGAUGCAAUGAAGUCCCACUGAUCAGCAGCACCAAAGAGCAAGAAAGAGCUCACAGUGGUCCUGGACUCAGUGCCCGCCUAUUCUGAUGAAAGCCAUGAAGCAUGAGCAUCUCUUCGUCUGUGGGAGUGGAACCACAUACUGCCUUGAGGAAAGAGAGCACAAGUCACUUACCUAAGGCUUCACCUGGGCAACCGAAGCAUGCUUGGGAUUUUGAUUCACUAAAGAAAGUGGAUGAAUGAGGAAAGAAGUUCAGGAAAGAAUGCCUUAUAACACAGCAUUUUUCUGAUCUUCAUAGUCAGUGUCGCUGGACUCCUCUUCUAAAGAUUGCUUCUUCAACAUCCUGAUUUGCUUAUGCACACACUGCGAGACCAAAAACUCCAUCACAAAAAAGAGGAAAAGACAAAGCCAAUCACUUACCAAACUCCCAGAACAGGCCUCGUGAAGGGAUUCUCACAGCACUCAGCGGCACAGGCUUUGGAGAUAUUCCCGUGGCCCUGGAAGUCUUCGGCCCGAUCAAGCCAGAGAUUGCCCUGUGGAGAAGUUUGUUGGGGUCUUUGCUCAUCUUCAGUAUGGUGGGUACCAUACCCCAGAACCUCGUGCUCUCAGCCAUCUUGAAAUCUAGGAAAAUGAAAGCAAAGUAGCAUUAGGAAGAAAAAAGACUGUAUUUUAGUCCAUUUCUACAGUCCCUGCUGUUCGCUUAAUAGGUGUUCUCUGUGAGGGUCCCAGUUGUAUUAGUUCAAAGGAGAACUCCAACAGAAGUUUGAGAAAGUGUCCAAAAGAAAUAUGUCUGUUUAAUAAAAUUUCUCAUUCUUUCA